UACGUAGGGAGCAAGCGUUGUCCGGAAUCAUUGGGCGUAAAGCGCGCGUAGGUGGCCUCAUAAGUCCGCUGUGAAAGUCAAAGGCUCAACCUUUGAAAGCCGGUGGAUACUGUGAGGCUAGAGUACGGAAGAGGCGAGUGGAAUUUCUGGUGUAGCGGUGGAAUGCGCAGAUAUCAGGAGGAACACCAAUAGCGAAGGCAGCUCGCUGGGACGUUACUGACACUGAGGCGCGAAAGCGUGGGGAUCAAACAGG
Molecule: ribosomal RNA, 253 nt
Filed under: uncultured bacterium
Lineage: Bacteria
Description: partial 16S ribosomal RNA
Rfam family: Bacterial small subunit ribosomal RNA
Source: RNAcentral